UGUCAUACUUUCAUCGAGUGAUUCCUUCCAAAAAAAUUAUAAAUUAUAAAGAAGAUGUCAGUCAUGAGUAUAAUCAGAAAUUGAUUACUCCCUGUGGAUCACCAAGAAGAUGCGAUUAUGUGUUCUAAGGACAAACGCUACCACAAAAAAUACAAUAGGAAAAAUUUAUGAAUGUGGACGAGAUUUCACAUUAUAAAUGAUUUGCCACAUAAACGGACGAAUAGCACCUCUAAUUUCCUAUAUAUUAGAUUGUUUAAAUAUACGUAUUCCCUUUCUAUGUAGUUAUGCCCUUUCUUUUGUCAUUUCCACUAGUCUCUAAUUGUUGAACAUUUUUAUAGUGCUUUGCAAAUACCAUUAUAAUUCAAAACACACAAAAUGCAGAUAAUGUAGCAUCAUUAUACAUGCAAAAUCUGGCAACAUAAAUUAAAAUAAGUCAUCAAAUCAAACAUGUCAAGAAAAAGCUCAUGACAAACUAUACAGGUCCUCUCAUAUUUCUUCAUUCUUCAUCAGAAGCUUCUUCUAACUGAAACUUCUGAAAAUUUUACAAAAGUCUUUCCACUUAAACCUAUUCAAAGGGACCUUGCAUCAAUUUGCUUUUUCAAUUAACAUGAAGGCAACAUUUUCUUAUUCCUCUACUUGAAAAUGUGCAUAAUUACCAUCACCAUUAUCUCUCAAGGACAACAGUAGAUCAAAUGGGAAAUCAUUUUAAUUCCACUAAAAUUCUACAUCCAUAACGGCAUAAUCCAUAUUGACCAGCUUAAAAUAUCACUUGUAUGAAAGCAUGCAUCUGCUGUCUACCUGCCAAUGACAUUAAUUAAGCAUCAGCUUCUAGAUGUUCAUGUGCAAAAGGUAUUUAUCAGCAACCGCUACAAAAUUGAUGUGAUCUCAAAUGAAACUUAACUUCCUAGAAAUUAAUUGAAUUAUAAUACUUGACCUAAAGAAAAGAUGACAAAACUGAUUAAUCUUGCAAAUAGAAACAAUGGAGAAAGAUAUUACUCACACUAAAAACUAUUGCAUGAGAAGAUAAAAUUGCACUUGCUAAUGAUUAGCAAAGUUGCAAUCACCACAAUCUGAUAAACAAAAUGUGGUAGCACAAUCUCCAAUGAAUAAAAAAAGUUGGUAAUACAAUCUAAGUAAUCAAUCAAAAAAUAGUUAAAAGGAAAAAAAAAUAUUAAAUAUGAAAG
Molecule: unclassified non-coding RNA, 1184 nt
Filed under: Hevea brasiliensis (rubber tree)
Lineage: Eukaryota; Viridiplantae; Streptophyta; Magnoliopsida; Malpighiales; Euphorbiaceae
Source: RNAcentral